UCGGAAGCCAGGCAGGGGCGGGCCUGGUUAGUACUUGGACGGGAGACUGCCUGGGAAUACCAGGUGCUGUAAGCUU
This 76-nucleotide ribosomal RNA is filed under the name Thunnus albacares (yellowfin tuna). Lineage: Eukaryota; Metazoa; Chordata; Actinopteri; Scombriformes; Scombridae. The record is from RNAcentral.